RNAcentral lists this ribosomal RNA (253 nucleotides) under uncultured bacterium. RNAcentral describes it as "partial 16S ribosomal RNA". It matches the Rfam family "Bacterial small subunit ribosomal RNA", at positions 524 to 776 of the family's 1533-position model. The record is from RNAcentral.
UACGAAGGGUGCAAACGUUGCUCGGAAUUAUUGGGCGUAAAGCGCACGUAGGCGGCUUGGCAAGCCGGAUGUGAAAGCCCUCGGCCCAACCAAGGAAGUGCAUCCGAAACUGCUGAGCUUGAGUACUUAAGAGGAUCGCGGAAUUCCCGGUGUAGAGGUGAAAUUCGUAGAUAUCGGGAGGAACACCAGUGGCGAAGACGGCGAUCUGGGAAGAUACUGACGCUGAGGUGCGAAAGCGUGGGGAGCAAACAGG